Molecule: ribosomal RNA, 231 nt
Filed under: uncultured Staphylococcus sp.
Lineage: Bacteria; Bacillati; Bacillota; Bacilli; Caryophanales; Staphylococcaceae
Description: partial 16S ribosomal RNA
Rfam family: Bacterial small subunit ribosomal RNA
Source: RNAcentral
AGUAACACGUGGAUAACCUACCUAUAAGACUGGGAUAGCUUCGGGAAACCGUAGCUAAUACCGGAUAAUAUUUUGAACCGCAUGGUUCAAAAGUGAAAGACGGUCUUGCUGUCACUUAUAGAUGGAUCCGCGCUGCAUUAGCUAGUUGGUAAGGUAACGGCUUACCAAGGCAACGAUGCAUAGCCGACCUGAGAGGGUGAUCGGCCACACUGGAACUGAGACACGGUCCAG